AGAUUGAACGCUGGCGGCAGGCCUAACACAUGCAAGUCGAGCGGUAGAGAGGUGCUUGCACCUCUUGAGAGCGGCGGACGGGUGAGUAAUGCCUAGGAAUCUGCCUAGUGGUGGGGGAUAACGUUCGGAAACGGACGCUAAUACCGCAUACGUCCUACGGGAGAAAGCGGGGGACCUUCGGGCCUCGCGCCAUUAGAUGAGCCUAGGUCGGAUUAGCUAGGUUGGUGAGGUAAUGGCUCACCAAGGCGACGAUCCGU
This 257-nucleotide ribosomal RNA is filed under the name uncultured soil bacterium. RNAcentral's name for it is "partial 16S ribosomal RNA". It matches the Rfam family "Bacterial small subunit ribosomal RNA", at positions 26 to 284 of the family's 1533-position model. The record is from RNAcentral.